Molecule: unclassified non-coding RNA, 10033 nt
Filed under: Leishmania donovani
Lineage: Eukaryota; Euglenozoa; Kinetoplastea; Trypanosomatida; Trypanosomatidae
Description: gene:LdHU3.28.2530(CDS-product:hypothetical_prote in_conserved)
Source: RNAcentral
CAGGAACAGCACCCCAUCAACGACAGCAGCACGUGACACGUGGCACGGACGUCAUCAGGGUCGGUACGCUUGUUUGCCUCCUGCCCUUUCUGCCCGUUUCGGAGCGACUCUCCUCUCUGUUUCUUUGCGCCUUUCGCUCUUCUUGGAGGAGGAGGGCCGGGGAAGUGAAGGAGGGCGGGCGCCAGCAACAGCAUCCACAACACGCGCACGCGCAGAUUCACAGACACUCGCGCACACAGAGACGGACAGGCAUCGCUGUCCAUCCUAUAGAGGUAAGUGGUGUUGCGCAGCGCACCACAUUACCAUCCACCCUUACACAGCGACAAGGCGAGACAGCAUCACCAGGAGGAGGCGCUGCGUUUUCGGGCAGCCCCGGUGGCUGCUGCCUCCUUUGUUUCUCUGGUCGCUGAGACCUGGUCCUUUCCGUUCGCUCCACGCCACCCGCCUCUCUCCCUCUCUCUCUGAUAAGCUUAAGAAAACAAGUAAAAAGUAGGACGUCGACACGGACGUACCUCGCGUAAUAGCUGCCACUUGCAUACACUGACACGGACGGAAGAAGCGCUGGCUGUGCUCCAGGACGGAGCAGAGUGCAGUCGCUGCCUUGCUUUCACCGUCGAUUCGUGUACUCUGUCUUCUCUGCGCCACCUUUCUCCCAGUAGAAGACUCCUAUAGCCACAGCGGCUGGACACUUUCCCUGGCCGCUCAAGCGUAUCUGUCGUCCCGUGUGCGCGACAGCACCGCUUGGCCGCGUGCUUGCCGCUGCUGAGUGUCGCACGUACGCAGAGAGACACAGCGCACCUUCGUCUCUUUCCUUUUCGAUCCGUGCCCCCUUUAGUCCCCCUCGCCUCCCCCGUGUGCCACAUGCGGCCAUCGUCGACGUGCACAGCUGCGAGUGGCACCGGACAUGGGCUGGCGCAUGCGGAGGCGGUAGAUGGCUCGACUCGGCUGCCAAGCCCGGCAGGCGUAGCGGCUUCCGCCUCUCCGCUGACCGUGACCUGCUGGCCGUGCGCAUCUUUCCCAGGGCGCGGCGGUGGCAACCCGCUCCGUGCGUUUCGCACAGAGUCGCCUGGGACGACCGUUGCGGUCGUUACCGAACAGCGCACUGCGCCCCAUCGCAUGGCGCCCAUCAGGCUUUCUUGUUAUUCCCGUACAUUGCCGAAAAGCGACCUACUGCCGUCAUUCCUGUCGCCACGUGUGGCGGCUGCGCCACCCUUCUCGCUGCGCACUCCUCUUUCAAAAGCGCUGCUGUGCUCGCUGUUGACGUCUUCAGCUGCUGCUACGCGGAUGCUCGCCUCGACAGGCGCACGACGGCAUCCCGUGCGGGUCACAGCGAGCAGGCAGCAGCACGCCGCCGUCCAAGGCGUAACGGUGCUGCGCCACUCCCACAAUAGGCAAGUCCGACGUUUGCUUGAGGCUGUCGUCGCGGUUGACGGGGGAGGCAGGCCACCGGGGCUACGGCUCGGCGUAGCUGUACGUGCGCUUGCCACAGCUACGACGCCGUCCACCUCCACAGACACGGAUGCGCCGCCGGCCUCCCCGGAGUCGUUCCUUGACCUCAAUGAGGCACCUGUGCAUCCGGUGCUCAGCAGCAGCAGCUCCGUGAGCAGUGGUGACGCAAGCGCUCCAGCGCGGAGAGAAAGUUCGCAUCGAUUUACCGCCAAGCAGCGGCGCCAGCAACAGCCGCAGCAAGAACAGUCGUCUCGGGGCAGGAAUAGGCAGCGCAAGGAAAGGCGAAGCGGCUCGCAGGGCUCUUUGCACCAAAACGAGCACGGCGCGACCACCCUCAGAGGGAGGUCGCGUCACGGAGAGCUUCCACCGCAGCAGCAGCCAGGCCCUUUACCACACAAGCAGAUGCGCCACGUGCACUCGUCUGGCCACCAUGGGGGCACCACCUCUUCAGCGGCGCCGCCCUCGGCCGGUGGUGCUUCUGCCCACGGUCGACGAGGCUCUUCUCCCGUGAGGCGAAGUGGCGCGGUGAGUGCCUCGUCCACCUACGCAAGAACUGCCAAAGAGGAGGUGAGCACGACCUGGAGCGGGUCGGCGGGGCGUCGGGGUGACGACCGCCGUGAACGGGGCCGCCGGAGUGGAAUCGACACAUCCGCGACAGGCCAGCCAAGCAGGCCUGCAUCGUGCGACCCGGGCACAUCGCCGCAGCGAGCGCCACCGCCCCCCACUACUUACACGAACACCGGCGCGCCGAGCUGUGCUGCGCUGCGCCGCCUCGUCAAGUCGCACCGCACGUUCAGAAAAAACUACGAGGCGCUACGGAAAAGCGACAAGGUCGCGGCCGCGUUUGAGCUUUGGUGCGCCGAGGCAGUGGCACACAGCCGUCUGGUGGAACAUCUGGCCUCAGCGUUGGGCGGCGAUAGCCAAGCGGUGACAACGGUCCGCCUCCUCCUCACAGGCGCCUCCAAAAAGGCCGCGGCUGCUGACUCAGGGGCGGCAGCGGCCACCUCCCCGACCAUGUCGGCAGCAGAGACGCUGGCAGUGCUGGAGGUGCCGCUUUCGGUGGUGGAUUGGCUCAACGAGCCCAUCGUCAUGCCGGACCUGGGCGCGAGGACACUCAUGGAAUUUGUGCACAAGGUGCUGUCCCCUUCGCACGGGGACAAGGCGCCAGCCAACGACUGUGAUGUCGCUGGUGCUGGAGAGUUAUUUGCGGCGUCCGCUGGCGACUCGCCGGCUGCACCGUAUUGGUAUGGGCGUCUCGAGGCGGUAGAGGUGUGGUACGACGCGUGGGGGCGCCAGCAGCACUAUCGCGAAUCGGCGGAAGGCCUGUUCAGCAGCAAUACUGAGCCGGCGGCGCCAUCUUUGAAGGCCUCCAUCGCGCUGUGGCACCGUAGGCAGCGUGCAGUGCAAGAUGUGCUGCUCUCUCACUUGACCGAAGGAGGUCGACCUUCCGUACUCGAUGCGCUGCCUGUCUGCCCAGCCGCUUGUGACAGUGCCGACACGCGCGACACAACUCCCGUCGAAUGUGGCCCUGUGACAGCUGCCAGCACCAGCGGCGCACCGGUUCAGCCUGACGGGAACGCUGCAGCGCGACCAGACCAAUUCGUUGAGGGGGCGACGCGGGAGCUGCUACCCUAUCUUAUCGAGUUUCUUCAGACGCUGAGCGCGUUCAAGGCUGCACGCGAGGAGGCGAAGAUGCACGCGGAGUACCAUGCACUACUGGAAAACGCGGUGGCGGUGCAGUCAGGGUCAGCUCAAGCAGCUGCCGACGCCGCCGCUCAGGGCACGUACACGCACCUGUGUCUUGUUGCGCGCCGCUUUCGCGCGUCGCUGCCGGUGGAGCUGCACCCGCCACCCGCAGCGUCUGAUAUCGCAGAUAAGCCCCUUGGCGGCGACGGCGGUGUGGAUGCGGAGCUGCGCACCGCGGCCCAGCAGUACCUUCGGUCGAUUUCGAAGGUGGACAAAGUGGCGUCUCAUUCCGCCCAGUCGUCGUCAAAGAUUGAGCGCUCGACGGGUGACGCGGGCACACACGAGACUACCGGAGCACAAUCGUCGUCGUUGGCGUUGGCUGAGCGAGCGGGUGCGGCGCCAUCCUACAGCGUUGCCGUGCUGGACAUCUGUAUCGGUGUUGUGCUGCGUUGCCUUCUCUUUUACCUUCCAGCGCUCUCUGCAAAGGACCGGGGCCAUGUGCUGCAGCAGCUCAGCGCCCCUUGGCUGACGCUCGAACCGGAGGAGAGCGCUCGAGUCGCGUGCUGGUCAGCGUUUUUCGGUGUUGCCGAUUUUCUCUCCAAAGCCUGUGCACUAAAGCGACGGGAGCGUAUCGGUGCGUUGCCAUCCGCCAUGGGGGGACUCAGCAACGGAGACUGUUCGACCUCCUCUGCUUCGUUCACCGUUGACCAUUCCACCCUUUCGACACUGCAAGGUGUGGUACAGCAGCUGCGCUCCUUGUGUUGGCCCACGGUGCUGGAUCGUCACUCGAGUAUCGUGCAGCACGCCCUCUGCCUCCUGCCAGCGGCAUCUGAAGCAUCGACGUCACCUUCUUCGGCGGCGGCAUCGGUGUCCGAUCAGCGGCGGCAGCAGCGGCGUCCUCCCACCGAGGCUCUGUCUGCUGGCAGUGCACGAGGCACGGCCUCAUCAUCAACAGUCGCCGCAGCUCCGCCGCACUCCACGCAGCCUCGUCCCCCUGCGUGGAGCGACGUCGUCGCGGUCGUGCGAGGCAGCGAGAGCCGACAGCGACUGGGCUACGAGCUACUCUUUCUCUUCUUGGGGGCUUUGCGAUGUGGGAAGGAGAACGCCUUCCCAGCGCCCGUCAAGGCAACUGCUGCUGCGGCUGCGGACGCUUCGGUUGAAAAGCCUGCCUGGCCCCACCACCGGCCCUCUGAUAGGCGCCGACUCAACACUGUCUGCAUCUACGCGCUUGACGUCGACAGCUUCAUUGCGGAGCGUAUGAGUGACUUGUGGCCGGCAGGCGAUGCGUGGCCGCUGCUGCGCACUCAGCCGUCCUGCUCGGCUGGAAGGGCGGUGGCACCGCCCGGCUCGCGCCCUGCGCCUGCGGAGCUACUCGCAGAGCAGACGGCGCACCCGUACGGCCUUUCUCGAGUAGCGCUGUGCACUUUCAGCGACUCCCUUCUGGAGAGCUGGUCGACCUUGUCGCUCCAACGCGCGCAGAUCCUCAUGGUAGCCCUGCAGCGGGCUGUGGCAGCUCCUGCUGCACUGACGUUGCGCUCGCUGCUCCCCAACCUACAUUCGAGCGCCCGCGCCGGCUGCGAGCUCAGCGGUACCCGCUCCUCUGCCACACCGCCACAUGCGGUGCAGCUGGCUGCGCGCCGUGCCGAGUGGCGAGCGGUGGCGCCAGUGAUGUUCCUGUACACCACGCGCGCGUGCCCGUCUUUGUGGAGAACGAUGUGGGCUUACAUCUCGUCGCAAAUGAAGUCCCUGCUGCGGCAGGUGGAGGAGAUGAUGAGGUCGGCACAGGCAAGCGCAGGCGAUGAGCAAGGCGGCGAUGUCGCGACGCGUGGAGAGCGGCGCUGGUCGAAUGAAGAGGUGGAGGCGUGCUACAAGCAACUGGAGGAGCUAGCGACCAUGUGCGCGUGGCUGGUUGCCAUGGUGCCGUCCGUCUGUGGCAAGUGGCUCGCUGUCGCUGGCGCUGCAACGUCAGAGCCUGCACAGGCGUCCGCACGAGAGCACACCGAGCGUGUGAAGGCUGGGUUUGAGCGCUGUGUCAAAGGCCUUCUCGCUGUGUGGACGAAGACAGGCGCGAGCGCUGAUGCGGCGGAGCAGCUGCUGACUUUGUUUUCCAGGCACCCCAGUUCCACGCCGACGCCCGUGGACUUCACCCCUGUGAGGGCGGCCAACAACGGUGCCGUCGACGACACCGCGCAGGGUGCAAAGGCGCCGCUGUCGGCGCAGGAGGAGACAGGAACAGGUGAGGCGGUGACACUACUCGCGGAGCUGGCAGCGGCGGCUCAGACGCAUGUGUGGACCCGCGCGCUGUACGGCGCUGUCGAAUUGUGGAUCAAGAAGACCCGCUACAUCCAAGCGCAGUCGCGAGGAAUCAUGGAGACAGUUCAGCUGAUGCCACCGGCGGAGGCAUCUACCUCUGCGCUAGCCGCGAUGACGGCAGCAGCGCCCGGUCGCGCUGCAGAUGAUCGUUCCCGCGCAGGUGAGACAGUGACCAACGGCGGCAGCUGUGCAUCUGUGCCGACGGCGCCGCACGACGUGGAUUUGGCGCUGCUUGCCUGGUGGCGCUCCACGGCGGAGGAGGACAUCGGCCUACCAUCGGCGCGCGUCUACCUCGCGCAGGUGUACACUGAGCUUCUGCGGAUUGUUUCUGCUCGCGCUGUUCUCGCACCGUCGACCCCUCUACCAGAAAGGGCACACGUGGGGCACCCGCUCGAUUCUGAGCGAGAUUCAGUGUUGGGGGGCGCAAGCAAUCGCGCCGGCGCAGUGGACAGCGGCGACGAGCCAACGUCGACCUUGAGGGGCGACACACCACUCAGCGGCGCAGCGGAAAAGACCAUUUUCUCUGCAGCGGAGGUGGUCGUCAUUCUGAGGGUGCUAAGUAGCAUUGCGGCACGCGGCGUCGCAACGGUGACCUUGGGUCGCCUCACGGAGCGCGCGUCUGGGCGCGGUGUGCUCGGCAAGACGUCUUCUGCCGGCCCCGCAGAGAACGCUGUGGGCGUAGAGUCCACCUCUGGCAACGCUGACUCCAUCAUCGACUCGCUACGCCGCGCCGCCGUGUACGCCACCGUGGCGGACAAAGAGGUACCGUCGACCACAACGCCGGAUUCGACGGCGUCAAAGGACGCGGGCGCUCGCGGCCUCUCAACGGCAACCGACGGCGAUGAAAGCGGCAACCCUACCAGAGUCGGUGUUGCGGAGGAGGCCACAGCGCACGAUCGAGGCAAUGCUGCUGCCCUCUCUGCCCAGAUGGCGGUUCAGCGCAUUGAGGAGGCGCUGCUGAGCAGCUUGACAGCACACAGCGGAGCGUUGCCGGCGACAACGAUGGUGGAGGCGACGUGGCUUCGACUGCUUCCCCUGUCGACGCUGCAGAAACUCCUUGAUCAUCGAGAGUCCUCUGCGGCCGUCUCAGCUGGACCAGACGCCCCGCCGCCAGGUCUGUCAUCCAACGCACCGCCGUGCAAGGCUGCAAAUAGCGGGUCAUCGAAUGCGCAACCAACAGCGUGCGCCGACCUCGCCACCACAGCAGCAACGCCGUCGCCUCCGCGUUUUGCCCCUGCCGCCGUCGUCGCAUCCGGCUCUGCUCCACAGCUCGACGGGUCACUGCGGGAGUCGCCGUCGCCGUGGGUGCGCAAGUUGCAUGACGCGGUCCUCACGAGCUGCCACUCGCGCCACAUUGGCAUCUGCCUUGUCUCUUCGCUGUACUCCGUCCUGGCAGCGUCGCAGAAGCGCGACGACUCUACACAGCCUCUCUCAGCGUCGACUAGUUGUGACGGCAGUCGUGGCGCGGUCAGCGCCGCCACUGUGUCUUGUGGCGGUACUUCAGAGACCGCUUCGUCUUGCGCUGAGGACUGCGAUGUGGCCAGGGACGGGCCGUCGCUCGCCACGUCGCGGCUCCGCUGUUUUUUGGCACGACUACGCACGAGCUGCGCCGAGGCCGUUGUGCUUUUCCAUCGUGCUAGAAGGCAGCACGCUGAUCUCACCGCCGCAUCCGGCGAGGGCGACGCCAGUAGCAGUGGUGGCGCAGACGCGGACGAUGCAAACGCAUCCCGCGUAGGCUUGAAAGCAUCAGCAUGGGCCGCUGCUGCAGAGGUCGACGGUGAUAGUAAGGGUGAGGCCGAGGCGGGUACAUUGCACGCGGCCACGCCGCACCAGCAGCAUGGGCAGCGCUUCUGCAACGUGCUGGUGGUGACCAGCGAGCUUCACGAGCGCCUUACAGCCUACGCAGAAACGCUCGCUUGCGCAGCAGCGAGGUGCAGUGGGGCAGAGCAGGGUGCUGACCAGGAUACGUUGCGUACUUCCCGCAACGGCAAGCCUGAGAGAAUGCGCCACCUGCUCCGACUCUUGUACGCAUCGCUGCUGGAUGCGGUGGCCGAUUUUGUGCCGUACGCAGAGCACGGGAAUGCUGUGGAGGUGAUGCAGAUGCUAGGCGUCAUCACUCGCCGCAUGCCAUGGCAGCAGUGCGCGCAAGCGUCGCUGGCGCAGGCGCUGCCUCUCGAGAAGGACGGGCAGUUUGGCGACCAUACCAGCGACGAAACAAGCUGUGAAGCAGUGCCACUGGCGAAGCGCGGGGGCGGCGUUGCGGAGGCCGGUGCUGCUGCUCGGCCGAGCGCGCCCCGCGACGGCGACGAAGAAGGCGUCUCGAUCGAUCCCCUCCUUGUGUGCUUUCGGGAGCAGGUGACGCGGCUGAUGCCGUACGUGGAUGCUGAAGUGCUUCGCUGCACGAAAGCUCGGUUGCCCCAGCUUCUGAACCUGGCGCUGAUCGGCAGCGCAAAAUCGUCUGUCGAGUACGUCUUGCGCAGCGUUCCAGUCAGCACCAGAGGGUCACUGCAGCGUCGAGAGGGGCCCUGCGCCGCCGCCGCGGAGGCGACGCGUUCCAGAAGCACCCUUGCUCUGUCACCCGUGUCCCGUUCGGCAGCGAAGGUGAGCGCGUCUGAGAGUGCCAGCCAUGGUGCCACUACCGAAGCAGAGCCAGGCCGUCUGGGACUCUCUACGCUGCCCCUCUGGUCUCAGGCCCCACUCGAGUCUCUUCUACACCGUAUAGCCAUGGACCGGCUGAUGGCAUCGCGACACGCGCUGUACUUGUGCACUCUGACCGUCAAUGCGCCGGAGUUUUCAGCUGUGCUUCUGCCUCUCACGCAAUACCUGCGCGACGCGCGCGCGAGGAUUUCGUGGGCGAUGCUAGAGGUGGUGUUCAAGGCCGUUGCCGUGUCUGCCGUGAACUUCCAGCGGCACCAUCAAGCAGAAAUGCUGCUGCGUAGUGAUCUUCUGCCCUUGUCGCCGUCAUUGUCACCCGGGUCCGAUCAGACGCCAGGCAGCGCCGCUCAUUCUCCCGCAGAUCGUGCGAGCGCCGCCUCCGCGGCGGAGCGACCCCGACGAGGUGGGGGCGGCGGCGAUGCGUCGCAGCGCGGCGGAAUCGCGCUGCCGCGGUCGUCGACCGAUUGCGCGGCGCUGCGCGUGGGGGAGAUGAGAUACCCACACCGUAACGGCAGUGGGGCUUCGGCGCCUCUCUUCCGCACAGCUGCCGUACCGUCCGCCGUGUGUAAUGCGCCGUCGCAGCUGCGGCACGCCUGGGGCGAUCUUGCUCGCCGCCUCCUCCACGAAGAGGAUGAUGUAGCCGUGUCCGACGUCUCACUCUGGGUGUCGGCGCUGUACUGCGGCGCUAUGGUGAACUGCGCAGGGACUCAGUUGUUUGAACAGCUGCUGGCGUGCCUCGUCUUCGGCACCACGACCCCCGCAGCCUCGGCGGCAACCACCACAACGCGGAUCGCCACGCUGGACGUUGUGGGUUGGACGCUGGUGCUGGAGGCGUGCGGCACGGCUUCAGACCACCACUACCGACAGGCAUAUCAGAGUCUUUUGAGGGACGAGUUCGUUCCCUUCCUGGAGCGCGCCGCGGCCUCUGCCGACAGUGAUGAGGGUGGCGUCUCAGCAUCUUCUGCUUCAUCUGCCUCGUAUCCGACAUGGCCGCCUACUGCGGCAGUGGCGUCGGGGCGGGCGGUGCUGGACGACGCGCUUCCCCUCGCAGGGGCCUGGCGCUGCGGCUUGUUGGAAGCCAUUCCACAGCUGUUUGUCGAGGACGCCGCGUUUUGGCGUCGCGUGAAGAACUGCGUGGAGACGUGGUGCGCCGCGAUUGCUCGCGACCCUGCUGAGGUUGCCAGUGAGUCCCCAUCUGCGCCAAGGACGUCCACGUCGGCGGCGCGGCGGUCUUGGGUGACGCAGCUACAGCAGAGCUUCAACUGGGCAGCGCAGUGUGCCGGCCACUCGUCUCUUGUGUUCAGCGAUAAUACAUGGACGACGGAGACGGCAAACGCAGAUGCGCACGCUGUGGCGGAGUGGAUGCGGAUACAGCUGGAAGCUCUGGGGGCGAGCGCAGCCUCAGUGACAACCACACCGGAGGCGCCGCCGAACGUCUCCCCACCGCGCGGGGGGCAAACCGCAUCUCUCCGCGGGUAGCACACCCAUGACCGUAGACAGCUGUCUUGUCCGCCAGGGAGAUGCAACUUCAACCACUCCAUCCUCCGCGAUCGAGUACUGUCACACCGCAAGAUGACCAUCUCACGUCGCGGGUGGAUUGAAGAGGAGACGAGACGGAGUCGGUAGGACAGCCAAGUUUCUGUGUAUUACCUCCGCCGCUCUUCUCACCUGUGGCAUCGCUUGCUUGCCGGUCUGUAGUGGAUGAUGCAGUGACCAAGAAGACAGACUUGUCUACGGGAGAGGAGGGAGGUAAGAUAUGUACGUGAGGAGCAGAGGAAGAGUAGACAAUACGCUGAUAAAGCGAAUGGCUCUCAAAACCUUCCCACCACACACACACACACACACACACACACACUGACACCUACAUGCGCACGCUUGUGUACACUAAGAAGCGUGCUUGCAGUGGCAUGUGUGCUUCUGUGCGUCUGUA